Ochotona princeps (American pika) is the source of this 197-nucleotide small nuclear RNA. Its record names the gene U2. It matches the Rfam family "U2 spliceosomal RNA". Rfam says of the family: U2 is a small nuclear RNA (snRNA) component of the spliceosome (involved in pre-mRNA splicing). Complementary binding between U2 snRNA (in an area lying towards the 5' end but 3' to hairpin I) and the branchpoint sequence (BPS) of the intron results the bulging out of an unpaired adenosine, on the BPS, which initiates a nucleophilic attack at the intronic 5' splice site, thus starting the first of two transesterification reactions that mediate splicing. The record is from Ensembl. NCBI's taxonomy places the organism in Eukaryota, Metazoa, Chordata, Mammalia, Lagomorpha, Ochotonidae.
AUAUCUGACUUUGUAAUAAAAUAAAAAAAAAAUCAAGUGUAGUAUCUGUUCUUAUCAGUUUAAUAUUUGACACUUCCUCUAUCCAAAGACAAUGUAUUAAAUGGAUUUUUGGAACUAGGAGUUGGAAUAGGAGCUUGCUCCGUCUACUCCAUGCAUCAGCCUGGUAUUGCAGUACCUCCAGGAAUGGUGCACAAAAA